RNAcentral lists this ribosomal RNA (65 nucleotides) under Neodidymelliopsis sp. RNAcentral's name for it is "partial 28S ribosomal RNA". The record is from RNAcentral. Lineage: Eukaryota; Fungi; Ascomycota; Dothideomycetes; Pleosporales; Didymellaceae.
UUGACCUCGGAUCAGGUAGGGAUACCCGCUGAACUUAAGCAUAUCAAAGCGCGGGGAGGAAAAAA